AUGGUGGUGUGGAAGAAUUGUGCCGCCCAAGUGCAAGUUCUUUGUGUGCUAGUUAUCAAGGAUAGAAUCUGGACGGCUAACAAACUGCAAAGAAGAGGGUGGCCCAACUGCAAUUUGUGUCAACUUUGCAAGAGGGAGCCAGCGACCGCAGAUCAUCUUCUCUUCCAAUGCAGGUUCUCUAAAUACAUUUGGAAUGCGAUCAAAGUUUGGGUGGAUGCCCCUGAACUGGAUGUGACGGCCUGGAACGGGAUCCCCAUGGUCAAAGACUAGUGGUCGGCAGUGGUCCUUAGGCGUGGCCACACGAGGAAGGCGAUUUCAUCACUCAUCAUGCUUGUUACUUGGGAAGUGUGGAAAGAGAGAAACGUGAGGGUGUUCCAGCAUGUAUGUAUGUUGCCAAACAUGUUGAUCGAGGCUAUUAAAGCAGAGGCGGGGCUCUAG
This 438-nucleotide ribosomal RNA is filed under the name Triticum aestivum (bread wheat). Its description in RNAcentral is "partial small subunit ribosomal RNA". The record is from RNAcentral. Lineage: Eukaryota; Viridiplantae; Streptophyta; Magnoliopsida; Poales; Poaceae.